CCCUAUUCUUGAAUCACCGGUGACAUGGCGCAAUUAAAACACAGGAUUGCUAUUUGACUAUUUUUCAAUUUUUUUUACUAAAUGUGUUCACACUUAAUAAAAAAAACUUCUUAAGCAGCGACUAAACCACACCGCCACUUCACCAAAAGGUACAACAAAUCCCUCUUCUUGAAUUGAAAUUCCUCCAACGCUCCAACGCCCCAGUUUCAUUGGAUGCUCUUUGGCAAAUUGAAGGGUGAUUUCAACGUUAUCAAAUUUGAAUGCUUUGUAAUAUUUUAAUUAAAAUUAUCUCGGGUUCUUGCCAGAAUCUCUUCCGUCCAAUGCCAUCUGCAAGAGACUUUAACAAUUGGACCACAAAAUUCCUCGAAAGACUUCCAAUCGGCCAAGGUAUGCUACUUAUCCUUUCUCUACCAAUUUAUUUUACUUCUCUAGCAAUAAAGAUUUCCAUGUACAGAAAACUCAAUUUAUUGUUGGAUGCAAAAUCCAACAAUUGUGAGAAUAGAAAACUCACUUGUGUUUGUCUAUGAAUGGAUUUAUCGAACCAUUCGAACCAGAUACAUGCAUAAACCAUGUCAAUUUUCAGUCACUAUUAUAUUUUUAACUGGUUGGGUUAAGCAAGACCGUUCAUUAAGUGAUUUAAAUGAAUAUCUAUUUUUUUGUUAUAUUUUAGUUUUAAGUAAAACUUUUAUGUCAACAAAUUUUAUUUUAAAAAUUAACUAAAUAGGUUGAGUGACUUUGUAGGUAAAACACCUAUAGUUGAGUGAAUUUAUGUGAAAAAAUUCAUAGUUGAGUAUCUUUUGAGUUAAGAAUCAAAGUUGUGUGACUUUAUGUUGAAAAAGCUUAUACUUGAGCAACUUUUGAGUUAAAAAUCAAGGUUGAGGGAUUUUAUGUGAAAAGAAGCCUGAGAUAUUAUCUCAUGAAUCUCUGAAAGCACAAUUGAUGUUUAGAGGAAGUUUGUUCUCUCUGCACAAGUAAAAUUUUCUUUGACCCGAUGAAGUUGGUGUUCUUUAUCUUCUGAACUAUCUCAGUUUGUAACUUUCAUCAAACUUUAGCACAUUCACUGUUGUUGCACCAACUUCAUCCGGUUAAGACCUAUUUAUAACCCCAUUGCCAUUGUAGACACUUGUGAGUUUUGCAUGUUACUUUCUUGUGCAAACAUUCACUACAGUAAACAUCAACCACCUGCAUCCUGGACACGAAUACAAACCACUUUACUGAGUUAUAUUGAACAAUGGCUGUUAGAUGACAUUUGUGGUGCAAGAUUUAUGUUCCGAGAUAGUAGAUCAUUAUGUUUUAGAGAAGCUUAAGUAAAAAACAAAAUGAAAGAACACUUUUUUGAAAAAUCUAUUUUUAAGAAUGAUAUGACUGUUUUGUUAGGACUGAAUUUCUCAAUUUCUUCCUGUCAAUGGUUGUUUUAAUCUCUUGCACAAACAUAUAUGAUUCAAAUAUAUAUAAGGAGUGAAGUCGAGGCAUGCUUCGAAAAUACUGAACCACUAUGUUAUUUUCUAAAAUUCUCCCUCCUCUUCCAAUCUACGUUUUUUGUAUCUACCGUUAUUCCUUAACCUCAUUUCAUGGAUAUAUUUUCCCUUAUCUAAUUACUUAAGGCUCUUUCAACAAUCAGAAACUUACUGUUUAGAGGUAUGCAAAAUUCUUGCAAAAUUUCUAGGUAGUUGUUGUGAUGCGAGAUGUCAUGUCCUAAAUCUUUGAUGUUGAACGACACACAUCUACGACAGAGAAGUCUAACUUUGCUAAACUAUGUAAUUAAACUGCAUUUGGUGAGAAUAUGAAGGAGUCCCCUGAAUUAUACGUGCUAAUAACUAUAUAUAUAAAUGAGAAUCUUCAUCCAAGUGAAGUGACAGCCUACAAGAUUUGCAUUUAUCUAGUUUUAGAGAAUUUUGACAUUUAAGUCUCUUUCUUCGCUUAACUCUAGAUCUGCAUAAGGGCGAUCAAUCUGAAAUAGUACCUUAUUCAUUCUACCUCAACAGGUGGCUUAAAAAAUACAUAGCAAUUCACCGUUAAAUAGCUAAAGAAGAUGUUCCCAUUCGUCGUGUUCUUCUUACAUCCCUAUCGAUCUCCUUUUCCUCCCCGUGCUUCCCGUUCUUCUUACAUCUCUAUUGAUCUUCUUUUUCUCCCCAAACUUCCGAACAUCUUUCCUUCAAGACCUUCUGCAAAAGAUACUGAAAAUUUUUCUUCACAACCUUUGCAGUUGUACAAAACGUAGGCAAAAUCACUACAAACCCUCUAGGUAUUAUUCUUUCCAAUUCACAAAUCCAUUGCUAUAAUUCCGCCCCAUGAUAUUUUCCCAAUUACCUUUCCUAGGACUACUUCUGCUUGCUUAUGAUCGAAUCCUCACUAUUGUGGAAAAAAAAACUUCAACUUUUACAUGAUACUUCUCUUUUUUUGUAUAUAUUGAUCUUUUUCAGAUCUUUUCAGGAUUAUCGAUUUUGAAAUUGUCCUUUUCCCUUUAUAUAUAACAUUUGGUAUAUUAAUAAAAUAUUCAUAUUCAUCUUCGGGCCAUUCAAAAUCGCCCGCCCAGGUAUGAUGCUUUUCAAUUCUCUUACAAUUUACUUUUUCUUUGUCCUUGAAUCGUUUCCACACUUCAAUUUUUCUGAAAUGGUUAUGUAAUUAGUUCCUAGUUCUUUUAGAAAAGAUCUGACAGUCUGUUUAUGGUGGUCAUAAUUUUAAGAUCUCUUCUACUAAGAGACAGAAGGAAAUAUGUUCUUUAAUAUUAAUUUAUGGAAGAACAUUGUCUAAUAUUUCGAUCGAUUAUUACAGGAUGUUAUUUUGUUGAUUCUACUGUUGUAGUAUUUACAGGACGUGGAAAAUGUGAAACAUACUAAUGUGAAAUGGGAUUUUUCUUGACUAAUGAAAUAUCGAAGAUAGGGUGAUUGUUUUCUAACUUCUCUGUUACCUCAACAUUCUCAUCAUAGAGAAUUGUUCAUACUUUAUAAUGUGAUCAACUACGAUGAGAAAUAAUUAAUUCUGUAUUCAUGAUUCAGUAAAAUACUUAAAGAGCAGCACCAAAUGAGGAGCUGUAAAUUGUUGAUCUUUUGAAAUGAAAAAAAAAACAUAUUUCCUUAAAGGAGCUUAGCCAAUAGAGGUGUCUUAGUUGUCUCUCUAGAACAUCUGCUUUUGCAUAUAUUUAAUUAGUUUAUUGCUUGGUUUUGUACACCCUUACAUAUUUCAUACCUAUUUUUAUAUUUUAGUUGUUACUGCUUUAAAUCUGUUGAACAUGUUUGAUUUUUUCUCUCAUACAGUUAUAUAGUUAAAAAUUGAAAAUGCAGAAUCUAUUUUGAAGUACAUUUCUGUUCAUUAUUUUUUGUCACUUAUUAGUCAUCAUACUAUGGAAUCUUUUUUUCAUUUGCCUAAGCUUUUUAGUUGAAUUGCAGAUGGUAUCGCUAAACUAUGGUUUACUUGAAAAUAUUAUAAGAAAAUUUGUGUUUAUUUUUUGCUGUCCAGAUAUCAUUAAUUGUUAUAGUAAUUGUCAUCAAUCCUUUGUUUAGUUACUUUGAACAUAAAAUAUUUUAAGUUAUAUGACUAUUUUCCCCAUCUUUUCUAUCACGUUGGUCUCAACCAAUAUGUAUAGAUGGACAUGUUUUGGAAAUCAAUAUCGGCAUCUGAUACUGUUAUUAAGGAGUUGAAAAACACAAAUGUCUUGGAUAAUGUUCUUUAAUUUUCCUAUUUUGAUUGUAAUUGUACAUGUUUCUUUAUGAUUUGCCGAUUUUUGUUAUGACUAGGAAUAUUGUCCUAAUCCAUGAGGAAAUGAAUAUCCUUUCUAUAACACCGGUGAAGUAGCUUUAUCCUGGUAACAAAGGUGAGAAGUUUUUGUAAUAAAUGAUGUUCUGUCAAAGUUGAGUGAUGAAAUUUAAGGGUCGUUUGAUAGGGUGUAUUAGAACAAUGUUGAAUAGUGUAUAUUUUUAAAGAUAA
Molecule: long non-coding RNA, 3927 nt
Organism: Solanum dulcamara
Lineage: Eukaryota; Viridiplantae; Streptophyta; Magnoliopsida; Solanales; Solanaceae
Exons: 2
Source: RefSeq, a predicted model, not a curated record